AUUGAACGCUGGCGGCAUGCCUUACACAUGCAAGUCGAGCGGCAGCGCGGGGGCAACCCUGGCGGCGAGCGGCGGACGGGUGAGUAAUGCAUCGGAACGUGUCCUCUUGUGGGGGAUAACCAGUCGAAAGACUGGCUAAUACCGCAUGAGCUCGCAAGAGGAAAGCGGGGGAUCCCAAGGGAAACUGAGGGACCUCGCGCGAGAGGAGCGGCCGAUGCCCGAUAGCUAGUUGGUGGGGUAAUAGCCUACCAAGGCGACGAUCGGUAGCUGGUCUGAGAGGACGACCAGCCACACUGGGACUGAGACACGGCCCAGACUCCUACGGAGGCAGCAGUGGGAAUUUUGGACAAUGGGGCAACCCUGAUCCAGCCAUGCCGCGUGUGUGAAGAA
This 390-nucleotide ribosomal RNA is filed under the name uncultured bacterium. RNAcentral describes it as "bacterial SSU rRNA". It matches the Rfam family "Bacterial small subunit ribosomal RNA", at positions 29 to 412 of the family's 1533-position model. The record is from RNAcentral.